UACGAAGGGGGCUAGCGUUGCUCGGAAUGACUGGGCGUAAAGGGCGCGUAGGCGGCUGGCACAGCCAGAUGUGAAAUUCCCGGGCUUAACCUGGGGGCUGCAUUUGAUACGUGUGAUCUAGAGUGAGGAAGAGGGUCGUGGAAUUCCCAGUGUAGAGGUGAAAUUCGUAGAUAUUGGGAAGAACACCGGUGGCGAAGGCGGCGACCUGGUCCUUGACUGACGCUGAGGCGCGAAAGCGUGGGGAGCAAACAGG
RNAcentral lists this ribosomal RNA (253 nucleotides) under uncultured bacterium. RNAcentral's name for it is "partial 16S ribosomal RNA". It matches the Rfam family "Bacterial small subunit ribosomal RNA", at positions 524 to 776 of the family's 1533-position model. The record is from RNAcentral.